Long non-coding RNA from Onychomys torridus (southern grasshopper mouse), 567 nucleotides. RefSeq lists it as uncharacterized. The transcript has 3 exons. NCBI's taxonomy places the organism in Eukaryota, Metazoa, Chordata, Mammalia, Rodentia, Cricetidae. The record is from RefSeq and is a predicted model, not a curated record.
CCUAAGGGUUUCCUUUUUAUCCCUUUUGCCUUAGGAGUCACCUGUGUAGUUUAUGAAUGCUACCUUGGACUGAUCCCUACCUCAUCUUUGUUCUCAAGAGGCAGAAACAGCCUGGAGAAGGAAGACAUUUAACACCUGACUCCAAGCGUUCACCAUAAGGCUUUGGCCCCAGUACAAAAACCCAUGGGAAUUUGAGAUACAUGAGACCAUCCUGGGAGACAUGGCCAGCCUGGGAUACAUGAGGCACUGAGAGAGAUCAAGAAAAUGAACAGAGUGAGAGAGGAACUAACGGUGGAAGAAUGAAAGGCAUUUUGAAAAUACAGCCUAAAUGUCACACACCACGACAGAGAAAUGUGCUCCCAGCGAGAGACAAUUUCCUCCAUGAACUAGGUAAGCUGUGUGGGUAAAUAACCUGCCCUCGCCAGAGUCCCACAGCUGUUUCGGGGGCACGACACAAGGUCAGGGGAGAGCUAGCAAGCCAAAAAUGUCCUCUAGCAGCCUCACACAAAGGCCAGACCAGAUAUCAGCAGUGAAAUGAGACGGUCUAUUUUCAGGCUUCUAGAGCCA